GGUAUUCCUUAUCUGUCUAAUGGUUUGUAUGGAGCCUGUCUUCCUGUACUCCAAAGCCGAAAUACACGAAGACAGGCUCGUCAGUUUAGUUGCCGCAAAAGU
Molecule: small RNA, 102 nt
Filed under: Gibbsiella quercinecans
Lineage: Bacteria; Pseudomonadati; Pseudomonadota; Gammaproteobacteria; Enterobacterales; Yersiniaceae
Description: tp2
Rfam family: tp2
Source: RNAcentral